RNAcentral lists this ribosomal RNA (468 nucleotides) under uncultured bacterium. RNAcentral describes it as "partial 16S ribosomal RNA". It matches the Rfam family "Bacterial small subunit ribosomal RNA", at positions 28 to 507 of the family's 1533-position model. The record is from RNAcentral.
GACGAACGCUGGCGGCGUGCUUAACACAUGCAAGUCGAACGGAAAGGCCCUGCUUUUGUGGUGUGCUCGAGUGGCGAACGGGUGAGUAACACGUGAGUAACCUGCCCUUGACUUUGGGAUAACUUCAGGAAACUGGGGCUAAUACCUGAUAGGAGCUCCUGCUGCAUGGUGGGGGUUGGAACGUUUCGGCGGUUGGGGAUGGACUCGCGGCUUAUCAGCUUGUUGGUGGGGUAGUGGCUUACCAAGGCUUUGACGGGUAGCCGGCCUGAGAGGGUGACCGGCCACAUUGGGACUGAGAGACGGCCCAGACUCCUACGGGAGGCAGCAGGGGGGAAUAUUGCACAAUGGGCGGAAGCCUGAUGCAGCAACGCCGCGUGCGGGAUGAAGGCCUUCGGGUUGUAAACCGCUUUCGCCUGUGACGAAGCGUGAGUGACGGUAAUGGGUAAAGAAGCACCGGCUAACUACGUG